This is a long non-coding RNA of Struthio camelus australis, 638 nucleotides long. Lineage: Eukaryota; Metazoa; Chordata; Aves; Struthioniformes; Struthionidae. The record is from Ensembl.
AUGCUAGUAAUAAUCUCCUAUGUGCAUUCUAUUCUUUUACAGACUGAGAAAUUAGGAGACACCUAUUACCUCUUAAAAAGAAAUGUAGUCCUUGCUGAUACUGGGAAAUAUAUCUGUGUUGCCAGCAAUGAAGUUGGGAAGGCAUACUGUUCAGCUUUCGUAACAGUGAUAGAGAAAAAUAAAAAGCCAGAAAUUUCCACUGUAACUCAGACUAAAUCAGAAUGGGAACAGGAAUACCUGUCAGAAAAAGUGGGUGUCACAACAACUGAACUAGCGCAAACCCAGGACAUGUGUUAUGUGAGAGGUCAAAGACCAGUGGCUAAACAUCUGCCAGUAAGGUUUGAAGAGAAACUCUGGCUUCAGGGUGUGUAUCUUGAAAUUCUGAGGCCAGAAGAGGUUAGCCUCAAUUUGGACUGUGAUCCUGUUCCCCUGGCUGCUGCAGAGGAUCAGAAGAAAGAUUGAACUACAAGAUACCUGAUUCACGAGGGUGCUCAUUGUUUGCUGUGUUUCUUAGUGGGUGUUAGCCACGAAUCAAGAGAAUGGGAAUCUUUGAGUGCUAUUAGAUUUGUAUCUAGGUUACAAUUUGUACUUGCUUUCUCUAUAAAUACAUCAUUAAUAAAAUUCACAUGUGCACAGCA